CCUACGGUGUGCUGCAGUAGGGAAUAUUGCUCAAUGGGGGAAACCCUGAAGCAGCAACGCCGCGUGGAGGAUGACGGUUUUCGGAUUGGAAACUCCUUUUGUUAGAGAAGAUAAUGACGGUAUCUAACUAUUACUCACCGGCUAACUCCGUGCCAGCAGCCGCAGUAAUACGGAGGGUGCAAGCGUUACUCGGAGUCACUGGGCGUAAAGAGCGCGUAGGCGGGAUAGCAAGUCAGAUGUGAAAUCCUAUGGCUUAACCAUAGAACUGCAUUUGAAACUGUUAGUCUAGAGAAUGGGAGAGGUAGGUGGAAUUCUUGGUGUAGGGGUAAAAUCCGUAGAGAUCAAGAAGAAUACUCAUUGCGAAGGCGACCUGCUAGAACAUAACUGACGCUGAUGCGCGAAAGCGUGGGGAGCAAACAGGAUUAGAUACCCCUGUAGUC
Molecule: ribosomal RNA, 440 nt
Filed under: uncultured bacterium
Lineage: Bacteria
Description: partial 16S ribosomal RNA
Rfam family: Bacterial small subunit ribosomal RNA
Source: RNAcentral